Molecule: long non-coding RNA, 1573 nt
Organism: Monodelphis domestica (gray short-tailed opossum)
Lineage: Eukaryota; Metazoa; Chordata; Mammalia; Didelphimorphia; Didelphidae
Source: Ensembl
CCGGAGGGCUGCAAGGGCCGGGGCCGAGGGGCGGAGCCGGAGAGAAGAGGAUGCUGGGAUAGCCGAGGGCUGCCUUGUUCGGCCUGGCCCAGAGGCUGGAUGUCAGCAGAGUCCCAGAGAGACCUGGGCUCCCCGUCAGGUGGGGGGGGGGGGCUCUUGCUCAGCAAUGGGGCGACGCCUUCAGGGAUCCGAUCCUCCAACGCUCCGAAAAGCCACCAGCCGGGAACAAUCAGUACCUCCAAUUACUGUCCAGCCUGCAGAGUCGGGCUGAAGUUUAUUUAUGUGUUUGUGUCCUAUCAAUCACGAUGCAAACUCGGAACCUCACACAGUGUCCCCCUGUGCCACCCAGCUCGGGGAUGGCCGUGCCAUUGUUUCCUGAGACCAGCUGCCCCGAGCCAGCGUGCCCCCCCACUCUCCAGGCACCCUGCUGCACACCGUCCCCUCCACCGCCCCCAGCCUGUCUGUCUGGAAUGGCUCCGUGCCCCCUGCCUAUGGGCUCCUCCUGGGCUUCUGCCUCUGCCAUCUUUCUCCCUGGAUCCUCCCUGGCUACUGCCCUGGGCUCCCCGUCCCUGAGAAGGUCGUCCAAAGUGGGGCCUCCAUUUCCUCUCCUUCUAAACCCUGCUCAGCCUGGAUUCUGAGCUCAGCAACGGCCUGGAACUAUUCCCAAAGCCAUCCAUGGACUCUCCCUCUCUGUCUCUGUCUGUCUGUCUGUCUCCCUCCCUCCCUCUCUGUCUCUCUCUGUCUGUUUGUCUCUCUCCCUCCCUCCCAAUCUCCCUCUCUCUCUGUCUCUCCUCUCUCUCUGUCUCUCUCUGUCUCUCUCUCUCUCCCUCUCUCUCUGUCUCUCUCCAUCCUUCUCUAUCUGUCUCUCUCUCUCUCCCCCUCUCUCUCUGUCUCUCUUUAUCCUUCUCUCUCCUCUCUCUCUCUCUCUCUCUCCCCCUCUCUCUCUCUCUCUCUCUCUGUCUCUCUCUCUGUCUCUGUCUCUCUCCCUCCCUCUCUCUGUCUCUCUAUCUCUGUCUCUGUCUCUCUCUCAAAAUGCAUCGAUUUGUUACAAAUCUGCGGGUAGCUCCCUCCCUCCCUCCCUCCCUCCCGUCUCCCCAUGGAGAAGGCACCAUGUGACAAAAAGACAGCGAUGCAGACAAACUGUGUUUUCUCCCUUCUUUCUCUGAGGUGGACGUUCACAAGUCAUUCUUCAGACGGUAUCUUUAAGCUCUUCCUUCCAUCGUAGAAUCCAUCCUGGGGCCUGGUUCCAAGGCAGAAGAGCAGCAAGGGCCAAGCAGUGGGAGUGAGGACUUGGCCAGGGUCACCCAGCUGGGGAGCAUCUCUGGCCAGAUUUGAAUCCAGGCCCUCCCGUCUCUAGGCCGGGCUCUCCGGUCACUGGGCUAUGCCGCGGCUCCUUCAAUCGGUGUUUCUGAGGCGGUCUGUGACGUGCUCUUGGUUCUGCUCGUCUCAGCCUGCAUGGCGUGUGGAUCUUCCCGUGGUUGUUCCAAGGAUAAGCUGCUCCCGGGCCUUCUAGGCCAAAGCGUGCUCUCCAUGGCCACGUGCAGGGCCUUCCCCAGGCCUCGCUCCCCUCGUC